CCUACGUGUGGCAGCAGUAGGGAAUCUUCCACAAUGGGCGAAAGCCUGAUGGAGCAACGCCGCGUGGGUGAAGAAGGUCUUCGGAUCGUAAAACCCGGUUGUUAGAGAAGAAAGUGCGUGAGAGUAACUGUUCACGUUUCGACGGUAUCUAACCAGAAGGCCACGGCUAACUACGUGCCAGCAGCCGCGGUAGUCCGUAGGUGGCAAGCGUUAUCCGGAUUUAUUGGGCGUAAAGGGAACGCCGGAGGGCUUUGAAGUCUGAUGUGAAAGCCGGCGGCGGAACCGGAGUAGUGCAUUGGAAACUGGGAGAAUUGAGUGCAGAAGAGGAGAGUGGAACUGCAUGUGUAGCGGUGAAAUGCGUAGAUAUAUGGAAGAACACCAGUGGCGAAAGCGGCUCUCUGGUCUGUAACUGACGCUGAGGUUCGAAAGCGUGGGUAGCAAACAGGAUUAGAUACCCUGGUAGUC
This 465-nucleotide ribosomal RNA is filed under the name uncultured bacterium. RNAcentral describes it as "partial 16S ribosomal RNA". It matches the Rfam family "Bacterial small subunit ribosomal RNA", at positions 338 to 795 of the family's 1533-position model. The record is from RNAcentral.